RNAcentral lists this ribosomal RNA (914 nucleotides) under uncultured archaeon. Its description in RNAcentral is "bacterial SSU rRNA". It matches the Rfam family "Archaeal small subunit ribosomal RNA", at positions 1 to 922 of the family's 1478-position model. The record is from RNAcentral.
UUCCGGUUGAUCCCGCCGGACCUGACUGCUAUCGGAUUGAUACUAAGCCAUGCGAGUCAUUGUAGUAAUACAAGGCAGACGGCUCAGUAACGCGUAGUCAACCUACCCUAUGGACGGGGAUAACCUCGGGAAACUGAGAAUAAUACCCGAUAGAACAUUAUGCCUGGAAUGGUUUAUGUUUCAAAUAAUUUAUUGCCGUAGGAUGGGACUGCGGCCUAUCAGUUUGUUGGUGAGGUAAUGGCCCACCAAGACUAUUACAGGUACGGGCUCUGAGAGGAGUAGCCCGGAGAUGGGUACUGAGACACGGACCCAGGCCCUAUGGGGCGCAGCAGGCGAGAAAACUUUGCAAUGUGCGAAAGCACGACAAGGUUAAUCCGAGUGGUUUCUGCUAAAGGAACCUUUUGUCAGUCCUAGAAACACCGAUGAAUAAGGGGUGGGCAAGUUCUGGUGUCAGCCGCCGCGGUAAAACCAGCACCUCAAGUGGUCAGGAUGAUUAUUGGGCCUAAAGCAUCCGUAGCCGGCUCUGUUAGUUUUCGGUUAAAUCUGUACGCUCAACGUACAGGCUGCCGGGAAUACUGCAGAGCUAGGGAGUGGGAGAGGUAGACGGUACUCGGUAGGAAGGGGUAAAAUCCUUUGAUCUAUUGAUGACCACCUGUGGCGAAGGCGGUCUACCAGAACACGUCCGACGGUGAGGGAUGAAGCUGGGGGAGCAAACCGGAUUAGAUACCCGGGUAGUCCCAGCUGUAAACUAUGCAAACUCAGUGAUGCAUUGGCUUGAUGCCAAUGCAGUGCUGCAGGGAAGCCGUUAAGUUUGCCGCCUGGGAAGUACGUACGCAAGUAUGAAACUUAAAGGAAUUGGCGGGGGAGCACCACAAGGGGUGAAGCCUGCGGUUCAAUUGGGAUUCAACGCCGGA